This is a non-coding RNA of Schistosoma curassoni, 47 nucleotides long. Lineage: Eukaryota; Metazoa; Platyhelminthes; Trematoda; Strigeidida; Schistosomatidae. The record is from Rfam.
AUUUAGAUGAUGCGUCCCAAAAAUAGGACGAAACGCUCGUCCUGGAU